CACUCCUACGGGAGGCAGCAGUGGGGAAUUUUGGACAAUGGGCGAAAGCCUGAUCCAGCAAUGCCGCGUGAGUGAAGAAGGCCUUCGGGUUGUAAAGCUCUUUUGUCAGGGAAGAAACGGUGAGAGCUAAUAUCUUUUGCUAAUGACGGUACCUGAAGAAUAAGCACCGGCUAACUACGUGCCAGCAGCCGCGGUAAUACGUAGGGUGCAAGCGUUAAUCGGAAUUACUGGGCGUAAAGCGUGCGCAGGCGGUUUUGUAAGUCUGAUGUGAAAUCCCCGGGCUCAACCUGGGAAUUGCAUUGGAGACUGCAAGGCUAGAAUCUGGCAGAGGGAGGUAGAAUUCCACGUGUAGCAGUGAAAUGCGUAGAUAUGUGGAGGAACACCGAUGGCGAAGGCAGCCCCCUGGGUCAAGAUUGACGCUCAUGCACGAAAGCGUGGGGAGCAAACAGGAUUAGAAACCCGUGUAGUCCC
Molecule: ribosomal RNA, 471 nt
Filed under: uncultured organism
Description: partial 16S ribosomal RNA
Rfam family: Bacterial small subunit ribosomal RNA
Source: RNAcentral